CAGCAGCCGCGGUAAUACCGGCGGCCCGAGUGGCGGUCACUAUUAUUGGGCUUAAAGCGUCCGUAGCCGGGUUGGGAAGUCCUCCGGGAAAUCUGGCCGCUUAACGGUCAGAAUGCCGGAGGAUACUCCCAGCCUAGGGAGCGGGAGAGGCCGAGGGUAUUCUCGGAGUAGGGGUGAAAUCCUAUAAUCCCGGGAGGACCACCUGUGGCGAAGGCGCUCGGCUGGAACGCGUCCGACGGGGAGGGACGAAGGCCAGGGGAGCAAACCGGAUUAGAUACCCGGGUAGUCCUGGCUGUAAACGAUGCGGACUUUGUGUCGGACAAGCUAUGAGCUUGUCCGGUGCCGGAGGGAAACCGUUAAGUCCGCCGCCUGGGGAGUACGGCCGCAAGGCUGAAACUUAAAGGAAUUGGCGGG
Molecule: ribosomal RNA, 414 nt
Filed under: uncultured microorganism
Description: bacterial SSU rRNA
Rfam family: Archaeal small subunit ribosomal RNA
Source: RNAcentral